AGUGGACGCUGGCGGUAGGCCUAACACAUGCAAGUCGAACGGCAGCACAGUAAGAGCUUGCUCUUACGGGUGGCGAGUGGCGGACGGGUGAGGAAUACAUCGGAAUCUACUUUUUCGUGGGGGAUAACGUAGGGAAACUUACGCUAAUACCGCAUACGACCUACGGGUGAAAGCAGGGGAUCUUCGGACCUUGCGCGAUUGAAUGAGCCGAUGUCGGAUUAGCUAGUUGGCGGGGUAAAGGCCCACCAAGGCGACGAUCCGUAGCUGGUCUGAGAGGAUGAUCAGCCACACUGGAACUGAGACACGGUCCAGACUCCUACGGGAGGCAGCAGUGGGGAAUAUUGGACAAUGGGCGCAAGCCUGAUCCAGCCUUACCGCGUGGGUGAAGAAGGCCUUCGGGUUGUAAAGCCCUUUUGUUGGGAAAGAAAAGCAGCAGGUUAAUACCCCGCUGUUCUGACGGUACCCAAAGAAUAAGCACCGGCUAACUUCGUG
Molecule: ribosomal RNA, 492 nt
Filed under: uncultured bacterium
Lineage: Bacteria
Description: partial 16S ribosomal RNA
Rfam family: Bacterial small subunit ribosomal RNA
Source: RNAcentral